RNAcentral lists this ribosomal RNA (468 nucleotides) under uncultured bacterium. Its description in RNAcentral is "partial 16S ribosomal RNA". It matches the Rfam family "Bacterial small subunit ribosomal RNA", at positions 28 to 507 of the family's 1533-position model. The record is from RNAcentral.
GACGAACGCUGGCGGCGUGCUUAACACAUGCAAGUCGAACGGAAAGGCCCUGCUUUUGUGGGGUGCUCGAGUGGCGAACGGGUGAGUAACACGUGAGUAACCUGCCCUUGACUUUGGGAUAACUUCAGGAAACUGGGGCUAAUACCGGAUAGGAGCUCCUGCUGCAUGGUGGGGGUUGGAAAGUUUCGGCGGUUGGGGAUGGACUCGCGGCUUAUCAGCUUGUUGGUGGGGUAGUGGCUUACCAAGGCUUUGACGGGUAGCCGGCCUGAGAGGGUGACCGGCCACAUUGGGACUGAGAUACGGCCCAGACGCCUACGGGAGGCAGCAGUGGGGAAUAGUGCACAAUGGGCGGAAGCCUGAUGCAGCAACGCCGCGUGCGGGAUGACGGCCGGCGGGGUGUAAACCGCUUUCGCCUGUGACGAAGCGUGAGUGACGGUAAUGGGUAAAGAAGCACCGGCUAACUACGUG